UUAAUAAAGUUAGCUAUUGACCCUUGAUGUCAUAAUUCCAGGUCACAGGAAGUAGGUGUUUUCCAGCCUGUGCAGUUUAUCUCAUGUGCUUUCAGCUUUCUCCAUGCUAAACAGGCCCUAUGCAGCAUUGUUGGUGAGUGUAUACAGUUUUACUUGCUUAAUAUACUCAGCUCCUGCAUCUUAGAGAGAGAGGUUUGUUUCUGUUUGAUAGCAGAUUUAUUACAUCUGUGUAAUGUAUAUGCAUGCAUAUUGUUUCACCAGCAGAGACACUUAUACCAUUUCAUUUGUAUGUAUUUCAGUUUUACCCUUUCAUCUUCAAAUACUCAUUAAACAAGUUAACAACUUACACAGUGUGGUGUUUUGAAGAAGGGUUAUCUGCCUGUCAAUCUCACUUCAGACAGUGAGCAGGACAGAACAGUAGACAACACCACGCAUAGCUGAUGCAAUACAGCACAGUAAAACAACAGCUGGUAUCAAGAGGCCCACACGCAGAGUGGAUUAGCAAGUACCACAAAGAUACAGUACAGCUUCAGUUAACAGCUAACUCUUAUCAAGAUUAGACAGCAAGAUGUCUGAACGAUCAAUCAAAACCAGAUCUAGGGUGUCACAUUCAUCCAGACUCUCAAACCGCUCCCAGGUGUCUGACGCUGCACUUUUCCGCGCAGAAGCUGCCGCUGCACUAGCUCAACUCACAUUUACUGGGAAGGAAACAGAGCUAAAAUUAGAGAAGACACGCUUAGAAGCCUCAAUAGAGAUUCUUAACUUACAUAAGACCGUGGCAAUCGCAAAUGCCAAAGCAGAUGCAUUAGAUGCAGCUCUUGACACUACAGAACAAGCAAGUCAGAAAUUCACUAUGCAGCCUGAUGUAAAACCAGAAACUGCUAUGCAACGUACCAAAGAAUAUGUGCUGGAACAUUCACAGGAGUACAGUCCAUCAAUGCCAAGCCUAGAAAAGCUUAGUGAGUACAGAGACAGUGAUGUUAUCCCAUUAUUGGAGCAAAAUCAUAGUAUACCUCUCCAGAACAUUCCCUUACAAUGUGACUACAUCUCACCACCAGAUGGUGCUCUGUUACAAGAACAAAAGGAUUUCAAACAAUUGUAUCCUGUUAAUGUGAAAACUCCUGCAGCCAGAGACUAUAAUGACAUUCAGUGGACUUUACCUGUUACUAAUAAAUACAGCUAUCCUCCUGUUACACGACCAAGGGUUCCUGAUAGAGACAGUCAUUCUCCAGAGGGAUCAUACCAGCACACACCAGAUGUGAAGCCAGCGCUCCCUAUUAAGCCUGAUUCAAACCAACUCACUGGCGAUCAACAGAUGUCAGACUUAGUGAGAUUUAUGGCACGCAGAGAAAUGAUAACAUCAGGUCUUGUUCAGUUUGACGAGAAACCAGAAAACUACAGGGCUUGGAAGGCGUCAUUUAAAAAUGCUAUAGAAGACCUUCACCUUUCAUACAAAGAAGAAACAGAUCUCCUAGUGAAGUGGCUAGGUCCAGAGUCCAGCAGACAAGUGAAAGGCAUUCGGGCAGUAUAUGUCAAUGAUUCUUGUAAAGGACUACAGAUGUCAUGGCAAAGGUUGAACGAAGAUUAUGGAGCUCCAGAGAAGAUAGAAAAAUCCCUGUGGGACAGGAUUGACAACUUUGGGAAUAUCUUUGAAAGAGAUUGCAGCAAGAAACUUAGAGAAUUCAGUGAUCUGGUAAUAGAACUGUUGGCAGCAAAAAAUGAAGGAUGCUUUCUAGGACUAGGUAAUCUUGAUUCCGCCAGAGGAAUAGAAGACCUUGUAAAAAAGCUGCCAGAUUCUCUAAAAAGGAAAUGGGCAUCCCAUGGGACCAAGUACAAGGAAAUACAUAAUGUACUAUUCCCACCAUUCUCUUAUUUCGUGCAAUGUAUCUCUCAACAAGCAAAGAUGUACAAUGACCCAGGUUUUGCUCAGACGUUCCAGACCUUUGGUGACAACAAGCCAGAGAAAUACCGCUACAAGAACACCCCUCAGAGAAGCUCCAUCAGGGUGCACAAGACUGAAGUAUCUCAAGCUACAGGAAACUCUUCUGCUUUCACUGAUGCUAAGACCAUGGACUUAACAAAAGGAUGUCCGAUUCAUCACAAACCUCAUCCUCUGUACAAAUGCAGAGGCUUCAGAAGUAAGUCCCUUGAUGAGAGAAAGACUUUCUUAAAACAAAACAAUAUUUGUUACCGUUGCUAUGCCUCAAAUGCACACCUUGCGAAAGACUGUGACAAACCAGUUAGCUGCACAGAGUGCAACAGUGACAGACACGUGUCUGCUCUUCAUCCUGGUCCUGCACCAUGGUCAGUCAGGCCACCAGAAGGGAGUGAUCAUGGCGGGGAGGGAAAGGACAACGGUGCAGAGGCUACAGUAACUACAACAUGUACCGAAGUGUGUGGAGGAGACCUUCGAGACAGAUCAUGCUCUAAAAUCUGUUUAGUAAGUGUCUAUCCUACAGGACAAAAGAACAGAGCAAUCAAACUUUAUGCUAUUCUAGAUGACCAAAGUAAUAGGUCCCUGGUCAGGUCAGAGUUCUUUGAAAUCUUCGGGUCAAAAGGCCAGCAGUUUCCAUAUUCUCUCAGAACCUGUGCAGGGGUGAUUAACACUUCAGGAAGAAGAGCGCAAGGGUUUGAACUACAGUCUCUUGAUGGCAAAACCACAAUCUCAUUACCCACACUCAUUGAAUGUAAUGAGAUACCGAACGACCGGACGGAGAUCCCAACCCCUGAGGUGGCUCUUCAUCACAAUCAUCUAAAGUCACUUGCUAGUGAGAUACCCAAACUUGAUCCAUCAGCAUCUAUCCUUAUGCUGUUAGGAAGAGACAUAAUUAGGGUCCACAAAGUGAGGCAACAGAUCAACGGACCACAUAACGCUCCUUAUGCACACAGAUUAGACACAGGAUGGGUCAUAGUGGGCAAUGUAUGCCUGAAAGGAGUCCAUAGACCAGACUUAGUACACUGUCUUUACACCAGAACCUCAGAAGAGAGCUGCAGAUCCCUCUUUCCACCUUGUCCAUACUUCUACAAUGUGAGGGAAAACUAUGACAUGAAUGUAUGUGUAACCAUGCAAUCCUCAGUGUCUACGUACAAAUCCUCUUGCAAAGAGUUUGAGGAUCAUGUAAGCCACAGUAUCUUUCAGAGAACAACAGAAGAUGAGACGGUUGCUCCUUCUCUGGAAGAUCUUGCCUUUAUGAAAACAAUGAACGAGGGUUUCUACAGAGCAGAAGACAGUAGUUGGGUAGCUCCUUUACCCUUCAAACCACAAAGAAAGCAGCUACCAAAUAACAAAGAACAAGUCUUGCAACGUUUCAGGUCCUUACAGAGUUCUUUUAAAGUAAAACCUGAGAUGAGACAGCAUUUCUUUGCAUUUAUGGGAAAGGUAAUCCAAAAUGGCCACGCAGAGAUAGCGCCACCUCUCAAUCCAAGAGAAGAGUGUUGGUAUCUGCCUCUCUUUGGAGUCUACCACCCCAAGAAACCCCAACAGAUUAGAGUUGUCUUUGAUUCAAGUGCACAGUGUUGUGGGGUAUCCCUGAAUGACAUUCUGUUGAAAGGCCCAGACCUAAAUAAUAACCUCCUUGGUGUGUUGUUACGCUUUCGCAAGGACACCAUUGCAUUCAUGGCUGAUAUCCAACAGAUGUUCCACUGUUUUCUAGUUAGACCUGAAGACAGAAAUUACUUAAGGUUCUUCUGGCACAAAGACAACGACCCUGCACAAGACAUCAUAGAAUGGAGAAUGAAAGUACAUAUCUUUGGUAACAGACCUUCUCCAGCAGUGGCCAUAUAUGGUCUUAGACAAGCAGCUUGUCAGGAAGAAAAGGAGUUUGGUACAGACGCUAAAAGAUUCGUGAAAAGAGACUUUUACGUGGACGAUGGUCUGAAGUCAGUACCCACUGCAGCUGAAGCCAUUGACCUCUUGAACAGAACCAGGAAAAUGCUAGCAUGUUCAAAUCUCCGCUUACAUAAGAUAGCAUCAAAUAGCAGUGAUGUAAUGGCUGCUUUUUCUUCUGAAGAUCACGCAACAGACUUAAAAGAUCUCAAUUUCAAUGAUGAUGAUUUACCCAUGCAAAGAAGCUUAGGCAUCUGCUGGGAUCUUAAAAGCGAUUCCCUGACCUUCCAGGUGUCAUCAGAGAAAAGACCCUUCACACGAAGAGGAGUCCUCUCUACAAUAAACAGUUUGUAUGACCCUUUGGGGAUAGCUGCACCAGUAACCAUUCAAGGGAAAGCUCUUCUUCGUGAUCUCACCUCGGAGACUCAAGAUUGGGAUGCACCCCUACCUGAAGGUAAGAGACUGUCAUGGGAAGAUUGGAAAGAGUCCCUUCACCAGUUGAAGCACAUACAGGUAACUAGACCCUAUGUAUCCGUUUCUUGUUCAAAUGCCAAAUACAAAGAACUUUGUGUGUUUUCAGAUGCCUCCAUGCAAGCAAUUGCAGCAGUGGCCUACUUAAAGGUGAUAGAUUCUGAAAGUCAGGUCCACAUAGGUUUUGUGCUAGGAAAAGCUAAAUUAGCUCCAUGUCCGGAACUUACAGUCCCACGACUUGAACUCUGUGCAGCAGUCCUCGCAGUAGAUAUAGCUGAAUUCAUAACAAAAGAAAUCGACACAAAUAUAGACUCUGUCAGCUACUUCACAGACAGCAGAAUAGUUUUAGGCUACAUUUGCAAUGAGAAAAGAAGAUUUUAUGUCUUUGUUAGCAACAGAGUUCAGCGAAUAAGAAGAUCCUCUCUCCCUGAACAAUGGCACUAUGUGUCAACAGAGAGCAAUCCAGCUGAUCUGGCCACAAGAUCUGUACCAGCAGCACACCUGAAAGAUACUAUGUGGUUCACAGGUCCACCCUUCUUGAGUCAUUCUCACCACUUGAAACUAGAGACUGAAACCUUUACAUUAGUGGAUCCGGCUCAAGAUACAGAGAUUCGUCCACAAGUUACAACCUUGAGUACAACAUCCAAAGGUAAAGAACUAGGGUCUGAACGUUUUUGCAGGUUCUCUAGCUGGAGUACUUUGACUAGAGCAUUAGCACGCCUCAUUCAUGUAGCUCAUCUGUUCAAACAAAAAAGAGACAGCCAACUUGAUCAUUGUAAGGGCUGGCACCUUUGCAGAGAACUAAACUUGGUGCAUGACUUUAAGAAAGCUAGAUCAGUCAUCAUACAGAAUGUUCAAAAAGAGACUUUUGCAAAAGAAAUACAGAGCAUUGUAGAAAAGGAAGGCAUGCCAAAUGAUAGUCCUCUCAGAGCAUUGGACCCUUUCAUAGAUGAAAAUAGACUACUGAGAGUAGGUGGUCGCUUGAGAAAUGCAGACCUAGGACCAGAGGAGAGAAAUCCAAUUAUUGUGCCUGGUCAUCACUACAUAGCUACCCUCAUUGCUCGUCACUAUCACAUCCAGUCGCAACACCAAGGGCGCCACAUUACAGAAGGAGCCAUCCGCUCAGCAGGAUAUUGGAUAACAGGAGGAAAGAGACGUGUGAGCAGUCUCAUCUUUAAAUGUGUCAUGUGCAAGAAGCUCAGAAACACUUGUGAAACACAAAAAAUGGCAGAUUUGCCACCUGAUAGACUGAGAACAGAUCCACCGUUCACCCACAUUGGUCUUGAUGUGUUUGGGCCAUGGACAGUCUGCUCAAGACGUACACGAGGAGGCUCUGCCGACAGCAAAAGGUGGGCAGUUCUUUUUACUUGUCUAAAUAUCAGAGCCAUCCAUAUUGAAGUGAUAGAAUCCAUGGACACUUCAAGCUUUAUAAAUUCUUUCAGAAGGUUUUUUGCUAUACGUGGUCAAGUCAAAACUAUCAGAUCUGAUCGGGGUACCAAUUUUGUUGGAGCAUGCCGUGAACUUGGAAUCUCUUCCAACCUUAACUAUGAAGAGGUAGAAAGUUUCCUUUCCAAACAAGAGGUGUGUUGGAUCUUUAAUCCCCCUCAUGCUUCCUACAUGGGAGGUGUGUGGGAAAGAAUGAUAGGAGUUGCAAGAAGAAUAUUAGACUCCAUGCUUCUACAGUUACCUUCAAAACUCUCGCAUGAGGUUCUCAUUACUUUAAUGGCAGAAGUGACUGCAAUAGUGAACUCAAGGCCUCUGACCCCAGUCUCAACAGAUCCUGAGGACCCACAAAUACUUACUCCAGCUACACUGUUGACUCAGAAGUUUGCAUCUUAUCCCGUACUUUCUGGGAACUUUGAUGGUAAAGAUCUCUAUAAAAGACAAUGGAGACAGGUUCAAAGCCUAGCCAAGGUCUUCUGGGACCGGUGGCGUAAACAGUAUCUAUCUACCCUGCAGGUAAGAAGGAAAUGGCAAUCAGAUAGACCUAACAUCAACACAGGAGAUCUCGUCCUUCUGAAAGAUCAACAAACCAAGAGGAAUGAAUGGCCUAUGGGUCGUGUAACAAAGACUUUCCCUGAUAAAGAUGGCAAAGUUCGCAAAGUGGAAAUAAAGAUUGCCAGAGAUGGGAGUUCUACAUUAUUCUUCAGACCAGUGACAGAGCUCAUUCUUCUUCUUCAGUCUGAAGACCCUACCCCCUGAUUGGACUAGAAUGAUUGUGGUGAUCUUACAGACACCAGGCGGGGAGUGUGCUGUCAGGACAGAUAUAUGUCUUUUCAUUUGAUUAUAGGUAUGAGCAGUCCUCCAGCUCCAUCUACUGGACACCUGUAGAUAUUUCCUGGUGUUAGUUAUUUGUUUAAUAAAGUUAGCUAUUGACCCUUGAUGUCAUAAUUCCAGGUCACAGGAAGUAGGUGUUUUCCAGCCUGUGCAGUUUAUCUCAUGUGCUUUCAGCUUUCUCCAUGCUAAACAGGCCCUAUGCAGCAUUGUUGUUUUACCCUUUCAUCUUCAAAUACUCAUUAAACAAGUUAACAACUUACACAGUGUGGUGUUUUGAAGAAGGGUUAUCUGCCUGUCAAUCUCACUUCAGACAGUGAGCAGGACAGAACAGUAGACAACACCACGCAUAGCUGAU
RNA transcript from Xenopus tropicalis (tropical clawed frog), 6929 nucleotides. RefSeq lists it as uncharacterized. The record is from RefSeq and is a predicted model, not a curated record. Lineage: Eukaryota; Metazoa; Chordata; Amphibia; Anura; Pipidae. The transcript has 2 exons.